This 488-nucleotide ribosomal RNA is filed under the name uncultured bacterium. RNAcentral describes it as "bacterial SSU rRNA". It matches the Rfam family "Bacterial small subunit ribosomal RNA", at positions 28 to 526 of the family's 1533-position model. The record is from RNAcentral.
AAUGAACGUUGGCGGCGUGGAUUAGGCAUGCAAGUCGAACGAAGCACGGGGGGCAACUCUCGUGACUGAGUGGCGAAAGGGGCAGUAAGGCGUGGGUAACCUACCCUGGGACUGGAAUAGCUAUCCUAACGGAUAGGUAAUACCGGGCGACGUAGCGAGGGGGCAUCUCCUUGUUACCAAAUGAAUUUCGCCCUGGGAGGGGCUCACGUGGUAUUAGCUAGUUGGUGAGGUAACGGCUCACCAAGGCUUAGAUGCCUAGCCGGUGUGAGAGCACGACCGGCGCCACUGGCACUGAGACACUGGCCAGACUCCUACGGGAGGCUGCAGUCGAGAAUCUUCGGCAAUGGGCGCAAGCCUGACCGAGCGACGCCGCGUGUGCGAUGAAGGCCUUCGGGUUGUAAAGCACUGUCGAGGGGGAGGAAGCCGCAAGGUUGACCUAUCCCUGGAGGAAGCACGGGCUAAGUUCGUGCCAGCAGCCGCCGUAACAC